RNAcentral lists this small nucleolar RNA (98 nucleotides) under Sphaerulina musiva SO2202. RNAcentral describes it as "A. fumigatus snoRNA Afu_335". It matches the Rfam family "A. fumigatus snoRNA Afu_335". Lineage: Eukaryota; Fungi; Ascomycota; Dothideomycetes; Mycosphaerellales; Mycosphaerellaceae. The record is from Rfam by way of RNAcentral.
UUUCAUGAUGAUCUCCUGAUAGGGACAGCUUAUGCUUCGGCACAUGCUUAGACCAAAAGAGGACUGUAUUUUAGUAGAUGCUUCGUCAAUAUCUGAUU